GACGAACCAUCCAAACGUUAUUCGGAAUUACUGGGCGUAAAGCGCGCGUAGGCGGCUUUGUAAGUUAGAGGUGAAAGCCCGGAGCUUAACUCCGGAACUGCCUUUAAGACUGCAUCGCUAGAAUCGUGGAGAGGUGAGUGGAAUUCCGAGUGUAGAGGUGAAAUUCGUAGAUAUCGGGAGGAACAUCUGUGGCGAAGGCGACACCCUGGACCAGCACUGACACUGAGGCACGAAAGCGUGGGGAGCAAACAGG
Molecule: ribosomal RNA, 253 nt
Filed under: uncultured bacterium
Lineage: Bacteria
Description: partial 16S ribosomal RNA
Rfam family: Bacterial small subunit ribosomal RNA
Source: RNAcentral